Long non-coding RNA from Solanum tuberosum (potato), 573 nucleotides. RefSeq lists it as uncharacterized. The record is from RefSeq and is a predicted model, not a curated record. The transcript has 4 exons. NCBI's taxonomy places the organism in Eukaryota, Viridiplantae, Streptophyta, Magnoliopsida, Solanales, Solanaceae.
UUUUUGUUUCCCGUAAAACCCUAAACUCGUCUUUUUGUUACCAAAGCGGCGAUAUCUCUCUAUUCUUUGGUUUUCACUGCCAUUUUCUUGCCCGUUUCCUCAAUCAAAGUGAAGAUUUAUUUCCUCCACCAUUGAUGUAUGCCGUUAUUCCGCUAUGUCGGUCACUGGUUAUCACAAAUGCAAAGCUUUUCUUCUUGAUGAACAAAACCUCAAAUGGAUGAAAGAGUAACACCUAUGAAUCUGCACGAAAAGCACCCAUAUCUUGUUCAAAUCAAGUCCUGUAAAAUUGCUUCUAUUAAGCAUUUUAUUGGCAUGUUAAAAGCCCCUUCUUGUUGGUGUUUAAUUUUUGAAGUAUAUACACUUAUCAUUUCUGAAUUUAAACUUUAUUCUGGGUUUGAGGAUUUUCAAGAGAUGCAAGAUUUGAAGACUUUGCAAGUUAACAAAUUGACUAUUAUUUAGCUAGGGACUAUUGGAAAAUACAAUAUAUUUUUAAUAGAUGCUAUGUUCUUUUCUUAGAAAAAGUAUAAACAACGUUGUGAUACUGGUGUUUUGUCUAUAUAAUAUAUGAAAGCA